UUGGAUAAGGCAGCUGUUGCCCCCCUGCUGGGAGUUGUGUUUCUGACUGGAUACUUGAGCUUCAGCACAUGGUCAUGAGUUGGUGGUGAUUCCCUUCUUGAGGCAUCUCUCAUGCUCUUCAGUGGCCUUUUUUUUAGAGGCAGAGCAGUUUCACGGCUGACUUCAGGAAGAAGUGAAAGGCCAGGCUUUGAGCCUCAUGAGUAUCCCCAGAGGGCCCUUAUGGCAGGAGAUGUGUGAAUUUCCGGAGAUGAUAUUGUUCUCUUCCUCAUCUGAGGAUGCUGAAGCCACCGAGGAGCAUUGUGCUGACACCUUGCCACUACUGUCACCAGAAGGAUGCUGUGAUGUUACCGGAGCAAUUAACGUGUCCUGUGUCAUACCUUCACCUGGGCUGGGGAGAAUGAAAACAAGUUUAAAAGCUUAGGAACUGGAAUUGCUGGUCUCCUGGUAGCAGUACAUGG
Molecule: long non-coding RNA, 458 nt
Organism: Cyanistes caeruleus (blue tit)
Lineage: Eukaryota; Metazoa; Chordata; Aves; Passeriformes; Paridae
Source: RefSeq, a predicted model, not a curated record